RNAcentral lists this ribosomal RNA (568 nucleotides) under Donkioporiella mellea. RNAcentral describes it as "eukaryotic LSU rRNA". The stretch from base 206 to 359 matches the Rfam family "5.8S ribosomal RNA". The record is from RNAcentral. Lineage: Eukaryota; Fungi; Basidiomycota; Agaricomycetes; Polyporales; Polyporaceae.
UCGAGUUUUGAAAGGGGUUGUAGGCUGGCCUUCCGAGGCAUGUGCACGCCCCGCUCAAUCCACUCUACACCUGUGCACUUACUGUAGGUUUCAGACGGUGAAGCCGAGCCCUUUUAUAUGGGCUUGUGGAAACGUCUGGGCCUGCGUUUAUUACAAACUCUGUAAAGUAUUAGAAUGUGUAUUGCGAUGUAACGCAUUUAUAUACAACUUUCAGCAACGGAUCUCUUGGCUCUCGCAUCGAUGAAGAACGCAGCGAAAUGCGAUAAGUAAUGUGAAUUGCAGAAUUCAGUGAAUCAUCGAAUCUUUGAACGCACCUUGCGCUCCUUGGUAUUCCGAGGAGCACGCCUGUUUGAGUGUCAUGAAAUUCUCAACCUAUAAAUCUUUGCGGGUCUAUAGGAUUGGACUUGGAGGCUUGUCGGCUUUUUGAAGUCGGCUCCUCUCAAAUGCAUUAGCUCGAUUCCUUGCGGAUUGGCUCUCGGUGUGAUAAUUGGUCUACGCCGUGACCGUGAAGCGUUUUGGCGAGCUUCUAACCGUCUCUUAUGAGACAACUUCUUGACAUCUGACCUCA